GCAUUAGUAGCUCAGCGAAAGAGCGCCGGUCUUGUAAACCGGAGGUCGAAGGUUAAAAUCCUUCCUACUGCU
Molecule: transfer RNA, 72 nt
Filed under: Paratilapia polleni (Pollen's cichlid)
Lineage: Eukaryota; Metazoa; Chordata; Actinopteri; Cichliformes; Cichlidae
Description: tRNA-Thr
Rfam family: tRNA
About the family: Transfer RNA (tRNA) molecules are approximately 80 nucleotides in length. Their secondary structure includes four short double-helical elements and three loops (D, anti-codon, and T loops). Further hydrogen bonds mediate the characteristic L-shaped molecular structure. tRNAs have two regions of fundamental functional importance: the anti-codon, which is responsible for specific mRNA codon recognition, and the 3' end, to which the tRNAs corresponding amino acid is attached (by aminoacyl-tRNA synthetases). tRNAs cope with the degeneracy of the genetic code in two manners: having more than one tRNA (with a specific anti-codon) for a particular amino acid; and 'wobble' base-pairing, i.e. permitting non-standard base-pairing at the 3rd anti-codon position.
Source: RNAcentral